RNAcentral lists this ribosomal RNA (518 nucleotides) under Cytospora tamaricicola. RNAcentral describes it as "Cytospora sp. XF-2019l partial large subunit ribosomal RNA". It matches the Rfam family "Eukaryotic large subunit ribosomal RNA", at positions 89 to 630 of the family's 3401-position model. The record is from RNAcentral. Lineage: Eukaryota; Fungi; Ascomycota; Sordariomycetes; Diaporthales; Cytosporaceae.
GCGAGUGAAGCGGCAACAGCUCAAAUUUGAAAGCUGGCUCCGGCCCGCAUUGUAAUUUGCAGAGGAUGCUUUUGGUGAGGUGCCUUCCGAGUUCCCUGGAACGGGACGCCACAGAGGGUGAGAGCCCCGUAUGGAUGGACACCAAACCUGUGUAAAGCUCCUUCAACGAGUCGAGUAGUUUGGGAAUGCUGCUCAAAAUGGGAGGUAAAUCUCUUCUAAAGCUAAAUACCGGCCAGAGACCGAUAGCGCACAAGUAGAGUGAUCGAAAGAUGAAAAGCACCUUGAAAAGGGGGUUAAACAGUACGUGAAAUUGUUGAAAGGGAAGCGUUUGUGACCAGACUUGCGCCGGGCAGCUCAUCAGGGGUUCUCCCCUGUGCACUCUGCCCGGCUCAGGCCAGCAUCGAUUCUCGUGGGAGGAUAAGAACGGUAGGAAUGUGGCCCCCUCUCGGGGGGGUGUUAUAGCCUGCCGUACGAUACUCCCGUGGGGAUCGAGGUUCGCGCUCCGCAAGGAUGCUGGC